RNAcentral lists this long non-coding RNA (238 nucleotides) under Gossypium barbadense (sea-island cotton). RNAcentral's name for it is "long non-coding RNA (GBAR_LNC014975)". The record is from RNAcentral. Lineage: Eukaryota; Viridiplantae; Streptophyta; Magnoliopsida; Malvales; Malvaceae.
ACGCCGCAAAGUUCUGUUCUCAGUUUUCAUAAAAUGGUGUCGUUUUGCCUGGGCAUUAGUGGCGCUACUAAAAAACGCCGCAAAAAAUUCUUAAUAAUGAAGAUAAAACGGUGCAAUUUUUGGCUGUGAAUUUAAUGGGUUUUACGGCUCUAAGGGAAAAACGCCGCUAAAGGUGGUCAUUAGCGACGCUAAGGAAAAAAAGCCGCAAAGUUUUGUUCUCAGUUUUCGUAAAAUGGUG